This 970-nucleotide ribosomal RNA is filed under the name Lactobacillus gasseri. Its description in RNAcentral is "bacterial SSU rRNA". It matches the Rfam family "Bacterial small subunit ribosomal RNA", at positions 8 to 929 of the family's 1533-position model. Lineage: Bacteria; Bacillati; Bacillota; Bacilli; Lactobacillales; Lactobacillaceae. The record is from RNAcentral.
AGAGUUUGAUCAUGGCUCAGGACGAACGCUGGCGGCGUGCCUAAUACAUGCAAGUCGAGCGAGCUUGCCUAGAUGAAUUUGGUGCUUGCACCAAAUGAAACUAGAUACAAGCGAGCGGCGGACGGGUGAGUAACACGUGGGUAACCUGCCCAAGAGACUGGGAUAACACCUGGAAACAGAUGCUAAUACCGGAUAACAACACUAGACGCAUGUCUAGAGUUUAAAAGAUGGUUCUGCUAUCACUCUUGGAUGGACCUGCGGUGCAUUAGCUAGUUUGGUAAGGUAACGGCUUACCAAGGCAAUGGUGCAUAGCCGAGUUGAGAGACUGAUCGGCCACAUUGGGACUGAGACACGGCCCAAACUCCUACGGGAGGCAGCAGUAGGGAAUCUUCCACAAUGGACGCAAGUCUGAUGGAGCAACGCCGCGUGAGUGAAGAAGGGUUUCGGSUUCGUAAAGCUCUUGUUGGUAGUGAAGAAAGAUAGAGGUAGUAACUGGCCUUUAUUUGACGGUAAUUACUUAGAAAGUCACGGCUAACUACGUGCCAGCAGCCGCGGUAAUACGUAGGUGGCAAGCGUUGUCCGGAUUUAUUGGGCGUAAAGCGAGUGCAGGCGGUUCAAUAAGUCUGAUGUGAAAGCCUUCGGCUCAACCGGAGAAUUGCAUCAGAAACUGUUGAACUUGAGUGCAGAAGAGGAGAGUGGAACUCCAUGUGUAGCGGUGGAAUGCGUAGCAUAUAUGGAAGAACACCAGUGGCGAAGGCGGCUCUCUGGUCUGCAACUGACGCUGAGGGCUCGAAAGCAUGGGGUAGCGAACAGGAUUUAGAUACCYGUGKUAGUCCAUGCCGUAAACGAUGAGUGCUAAGUGUUGGGAGGUUUCCGCCUCUCAGUGCUGCAGCUAACGCAUUAAGCACUCCGCCUGGGGAGUACGACCGCAAGGUUGAAACUCAAAGGAAUUGACGGGGGCCCGCACAAG